UACGGGAGGCAGCAGUCGGGAAUAUUGCACAAUGGGCGAAAGCCUGAUGCAGCGACGCCGCGUGAACGAAGAAGUAUUUCGGUAUGUAAAGUUCUAUCAGCAGGGAAGAAAAAUGACGGUACCUGACUAAGAAGCUCCGGCUAAAUACGUGCCAGCAGCCGCGGUAAU
Molecule: ribosomal RNA, 168 nt
Filed under: uncultured rumen bacterium
Lineage: Bacteria
Description: partial 16S ribosomal RNA
Rfam family: Bacterial small subunit ribosomal RNA
Source: RNAcentral